GAGAGAGACAUGCGCGCAUAUCAAUAAGCGGAGGAAAAGAAACUAACAAGGAUUCCCUUAGUAACGGCGAGUGAAGCGGGAAGAGCUCAAAUUUGAAAUCUUCAAGGUUUUACCUUGACGAAUUGUAGUUUAAAGAAGUGUUUUCUGCUGAAGUUUUGGUAAAAGUUCUUUGGAAUAGGACAUCAUAGAGGGUGAGAAUCCCGUAUUUGACCAUUAUUUUCAGCUUUGUGAUACACUUUCAAAGAGUCGGAUUGUUUGGGAAUGCAGUCCAAAAUGGGUGGUAAAUUUCAUCUAAAGCUAAAUAUUGGCGAGAGACCGAUAGCGAACAAGUACCGUGAGGGAAAGAUGAAAAGAACUUUGAAAAGAGAGGUUAAACAGUACGUGAAAUUGUCAAAAGGGAAGCGUUUGACACCAGUGUUGUUUUCUCGAAAAUCAAUUAAAAAUGGCUCGAUUUUGUAUUGUUGAGACCUUAAAAGCUCACUGUACAUUUUUCGUGUCUUUUUUAAUGCACUUUUCGUUUAACAAGUCAACAUCAGUUUCUUUUGUUGUAAAAGGGUCAUUGGAAGGUGGCUUUCUUUCGGAGAAAGUGUUUAUAGCCUUGGCCUCUGCAAUCGGAGAGACUGAGGUCUGCAGCGUAGACUCUUCGGGGUUAGAUACAUUUGUGCUAAGUUAUAGCUUUUUAUAGACAACUUGUUGACUAUAAUUAGUCUUGUAGCUUACUCGCUUAUGCUAUUUUACCUACGCUUAGGAUGUUGAGUCGUAGAGCACGCAG
Molecule: ribosomal RNA, 772 nt
Filed under: uncultured Neocallimastigales
Lineage: Eukaryota; Fungi; Neocallimastigomycota; Neocallimastigomycetes; Neocallimastigales
Description: partial large subunit ribosomal RNA
Rfam family: Eukaryotic large subunit ribosomal RNA
Source: RNAcentral